Molecule: ribosomal RNA, 497 nt
Filed under: uncultured bacterium
Lineage: Bacteria
Description: partial 16S ribosomal RNA
Rfam family: Bacterial small subunit ribosomal RNA
Source: RNAcentral
GAUGAACGCUGGCGGCGUGCCUAAUACAUGCAAGUCGAGCGAACAGACGAGGAGCUUGCUCCUCUGACGUUAGCGGCGGACGGGUGAGUAACACGUGGAUAACCUACCUAUAAGACUGGGAUAACUUCGGGAAACCGGAGCUAAUACCGGAUAAUAUAUUGAACCGCAUGGUUCAAUAGUGAAAGACGGUUUUGCUGUCACUUAUAGAUGGAUCCGCGCCGCAUUAGCUAGUUGGUAAGGUAACGGCUUACCAAGGCGACGAUGCGUAGCCGACGUGAGAGGGUGAUCGGCCACACUGGAACUGAGACACGGUCCAGACUCCUACGGGAGGCAGCAGUAGGGAAUCUUCCGCAAAGGGCGAAAGCCUGACGGAGCAACGCCGCGUGAGUGAUGAAGGUCUUCGGAUCGUAAAACUCUGUUAUUAGGGAAGAACAAAUGUGUAAGUAACUAUGCACGUCUUGACGGUACCUAAUCAGAAAGCCACGGCUAACUACGUG